Aphis gossypii (cotton aphid) is the source of this 4124-nucleotide long non-coding RNA. RefSeq lists it as uncharacterized. NCBI's taxonomy places the organism in Eukaryota, Metazoa, Arthropoda, Insecta, Hemiptera, Aphididae. The transcript has 4 exons. The record is from RefSeq and is a predicted model, not a curated record.
AUAUUAUUAUUAUUAUUAUGAACCGCUCUGGUACGACGAACUCGCUGUGACGACGAACGGUAAAAGUCAGAUACGUUCGCGGGGAGGGAGAGCAAUAAUAAUAAUUACGAGUUAUCGGCGGCGACGGGGCCCCGGUAGCGGCGGUAUGGAAUUCUUCGAAUUCGACAACAUUAGUAUUAUAUUAUUAUUAUUAUUAUUAUAUUUUGUCAGAGGAAUGAGCGCUCGCGACACGGAUUAUAAAAAACGGGUCGACCGAUUAGAUAUUUUCUCACCGCCGCCGUCGCUCGAAAUUCGGACGUAAAGUUCCUCUACACGACGGAAGCGCUACCGGCGGAUACGGUCCACGACGUUAUCGCCACCGCGAUGUUGUUGUUAAAUCCGUGGGUUUCUGCGGUAUAAUAUUAUUAGGUAUCAUAUAGUUGUUGUUUUUUACGCGCUUUGACGAAAUCGUCGAAAACAAAAAAAUACCAAUAUCGUUAUGAUUCACGAGUUCACCACGAUGUUUUUUUUUGUCGUCGUCGUCGUACGCCGUAGUACAACGACGAUGACGAGUCGGCACGAAAUACACACGACAGACCGCUGGAGUUCAAACUUCAAACAGUAACGUGUACAUAGAAAUUAAUAAAACUAUUUGGAGUCAUACCAGUCUUGGAGGAAAAUGAAAAACAUUGAAGUACCUACAACAAUAAAAAGAUUAUUUGAUAAGGGCAAGGCUGUAACAGAGGAGGUCCAGGGGUCCGGAUCCCCCCGAAAUUUUUAAAAUUAGAAAUAUUUUACGUAAAUUAUAGAUAAAAAUGAUAAGUGUUCAAUAUCUAGAUAUUUAAAAAAAUGUUGGACCUCCCCCAAAUUUUUUUUCCAGUUACGGCCUUGGAUAAGGGUAUUUAUAAGCCUUCUACUUGAUACAACAUUUAUAAUUCAAGCUGCAAUUCAAAAUGUAGUUAUCUUCAACGACUUGGGUUAUAUGUUGAUACAGUCAUGUUGGUUUUUAGAAGUACGAAAUAUGAGUAAUGAAUAUGCUUCAAAUGCCAUUAACCAAGAAUAAAGUGAAUUUGUUGCACUUAAUUUCAACAUCAGUUUACAAUUAAUUAAGCCAUUAUAGUUAAGCAAAAAUCAUUGAUUAAUUCUGUUUUUUUUUUUUUUUUUAUGUUAAUAGAGAUUUUAGUUGGAUACUGUUAAUCUUGAUUGUUAAGGUCAGGUAGGGCGCAUGGAUGUGUGACGUGUGUGUUGCUCAAUUUUUCAGGUGGUCACCUAUUCAGGAAACUACCAAAGUAAUCGCUUAUUUAACAUCAGUGCCGUCUGGCAAUUGAUGUGUCCACUGCGCCAUGCCAUGCCUCUCAACCGUGUUAUUUUAUUUUUCUUUAUAUUACAACAUUUUAUUUUUAUUUAACUGAAUUAAUCUAAAAUAGUAUUGUUAAGUAUAUUUAAAUCAAAGACAAAUUUUAAUCAAUGUAUAAGUUUAAAUUAUAAAAAUAAGAGUAUAAGAUAAUAAUAACUUUUUUAUUAGAAAUAUCAAAAUAAAAUUUUAAAUUUAUUAAAUUGCUGGAGAUUAAAUAUUUUCUUUAGUAGAUUUGAUAUUUUAACCAAAACUAAUUCCUCAGUGCUUCUUAUUUUUCCAAAACUAUUUUUAAAAAGAAUUGAUGGGUGUGUAACACUAUCUUAAAGAUUUUAUUUUCUGAGUAUUGUGAUGUUUUAAUUGUAAAGCAAUAAAUAAUUACUAAUAAUUAAUAAACUAGAUAAUAAAAGUAUAAAUUAUAUGAUAAUAUUUUAUUAUGGUACGCAUUGUGAUUUAAUAUUGUAUAAACUAAAAUAUUUUGUAUACAAAUUAUAAGAUAAAUAAAUAGGUGAUAUAUUUUUAUGAAAAAUACUAGACUAUAUUUUCAGAUUAAUGAAGAGAUAAUAUUGUUUUCUUUUAAACAUUGUAAAAAAUAAAAUAAAAUGAUAGAUCACAUUAACUUAAAAUACAUUUAAAUAUCAGUUAAUACAAGUUCAUUAUAUAAUUAAGAAAUCAUUAAAAAUAUUUCAUGAACAUUUUUCAUUUUAAAACCAUGAUUAAAUAAAUAAAAUAUAUCUCAUCAGUUUAAAGUAAGCUUAUUUGUUGUUAUUAAUUAUUUAGAUGCCUUUUUCAAAUUAUAUAAUAAUUAAAAUAAGAUAUAAUUACAUUUGUGAGUCUAGUUAAAAACAAAGUAUAAAUUAAAACUAUUAAUACAUAUUAGGGGUCUCGAUUGAAAACAUAAAUUACUGCAUCCAUGAACACAAUCUGUAUACAUAUGACUGAACAAUUUGUAUUUAUAUAAACCUACUAAAAGCAUGAAUUCAGAUGUUUCAGUAAUUUUCAAGUAUUUUGCUUAUGCAAAAUAUAUAAUUAAUUAUAUUAAAUUUAAUGUGGAUUUUGUACAACUAAAAUGUAUUUUAUUAUUAAAUUAAAAUUUUGAACGACGUAAUGAAAUCAUUGUAAAAAUUAUAUUAUCAGCAAAAUUAUGUCAUACAAUUUGAAUAUAUAUAAAUUAUAUAAAUUUCAAUAUAAAUAAAGUAUUAAAUAAUAUUUUAACUUUAUUUUUAAGUAAAAUUUGUAUUUAAUUAAUAGGUAAGAAAAUAACUUUUUUGUAGUUUAUUGUACAUUUAAUAAGUUAAAAUAUUUAGAAGAGUCAAAAAGAAUACUAUUAUAAUCAGUAGGUAUAGGAAAAAAAUUAAACAAUUUUACCUUAUGGUUAGAUAAACAAUGCUAUAAAUGUAACAAAUAUUAUGUACCUACUGUGUAACAAUUGUUCAAUUCAUUUUAUAUUUAUGUAUUAUAUAUUAUAAAUUUUAUUUUAUAAAAAUGGCAGUGGGUUCAUCCAUUAUUCAUUACAAUUUUAUGAAAUAAAAUAUUUUAUAUUGAUACUUUUCAGUUAUUAUACAAACUACUAGAAUUAAUUAUCAUUCAUUUUUUUUAUUGAAAUAAAUCUAGCAUCAGAAUUGUUUUCGAAUAAUUAUAUUUUAUACUAUUUUAUAUAGGUAAUAACAAAUGAUUAGGUAUUGCAUUAAAUUUGUAAUUAUAUAUUAAUUUUAUUUUACUAUUUUUCCUUUCGCUCACAGCAUAAUAUAUAAUUAAUUCUAUAUGCUAUUAUUAAAAAACAAUUAUCAAUAUUCAUUGUUACAUUAUAAAAAUAAUAAUAUAAAUAUUGUAUUAUAUACUAUUUAUUAAUAUUCAACCAUCAUUAUAAAAUAAAAAUAUGUAUGUUAUCAUGUAAUUUUAAUAAUUUUAGUCUGAAAAGACCCUGUUAUAAUUAUUGUAUAUUGCAUGAUAAAUUUUAAACAUAAACUGCAAAUAUAAAUAAUAUGCUUUUAAGGACAGUAUAAUCUUAAAUGACCGAAAAUGAAUGUUUGAAUUAAAGAUAAUAUUAAACAAACAAGGCAAUUAUCAUAUUAUGUAAUUUUAUAGAAAGUAAUAAUAGAAAAAAAUGCUAACACAACAGAUAUUUUGACUCAUAUAGUAAAAAACAAUUCUGUCACAAAACAUGGGAUUAAACAUUAAUUUUAUUUGUGUAAUGCAGAAAAUAUAAAAUUUUUUUUAAAUUAAGUUUAUUUCUUCAAAUAAUAAUUUAACAGUUAUUAUAUUAACAUUUUGAUAAAAAAAAUGUAUACCUACCCAGGGAAGCAAAACUAAUUUUAAGCCAUUUGUAAAAAAAUAUACUACCUAUUUCACCAAUGAAUAUUAGCUUAAUACCUAUACUAAAUAUUUGGUUAUUUUCAGUUAUUUAAAUUUACUAAUAAAUGUACACUCAUAUUAUUAAGAACAUAUUUUGUCUUAAAUGUACAUUUAAAUUAAAAAUAAGUAUAAUAAAAACAACGUUAAAAUGUUAAUUUAAAAAGAUCUCUAAUAUUAAUUUUUUUUUUUUAUUAAAAUUUUAUUUUUUUUUCUGUUUGAUCAAAAAAUAAUGUUUUUAAACAGUUUUGUUCAUGAUAUUAACUUCUGUAGUAUGUUUAUUUAUCUAUUUAUUUUAAAUGUUAUGUUAUGUGUUAGCUAUAAGCUAUAUUUUAACUUAGAAACGUAUUUAAGUCCUUGGGACAAGUAAUAAAAUAAUAAUUAUCUACUUAUUAUAUCUAAUAAUAAUUAUUUUAAUUAUAAUCAUGUUUUAGUUGAA